UACGGGGGGGGCAAGCGUUGUUCGGAAUUACUGGGCGUAAAGGGCUCGUAGGCGGCCAACUAAGUCGGACGUGAAAUCCCUCGGCUUAACCGGGGAACUGCGUCCGAUACUGGAUGGCUUGAGAUUGGGAGAGGGAUGCGGAAUUCCAGGUGUAGCGGUGAAAUGCGUAGAUAUCUGGAGGAACACCGGUGGCGAAGGCGGCAUCCUGGACCAACACUGACACUCAGGUGCGACAGCGUGGGGAGCAAACAGG
This 253-nucleotide ribosomal RNA is filed under the name uncultured bacterium. RNAcentral describes it as "partial 16S ribosomal RNA". It matches the Rfam family "Bacterial small subunit ribosomal RNA", at positions 524 to 776 of the family's 1533-position model. The record is from RNAcentral.